GAUGAGAACGCAGCGAAAUGCGAUAAGUAAUGUGAAUUGCAGAAUUCAGUGAAUCAUCGAAUCUUUGAACGCACAUUGCGCCCGCCAGUAUUCUGGCGGGCAUGCCUGUUCGAGCGUCAUUUCAACCAUCAAGCCCCCGGCUUGUGUUGGGGACCUGCGGCUGCCGCAGGCCCUGAAAAGCAGUGGCGGGCUCGCUGUCACACCGAGCGUAGUAGCAUACAUCUCGCUCUGGGCGUGCUGCGGGUUCCGGCCGUUAAACCACCUUCAUAACCCAAGGUUGACCUCGGAUCAGGUAGGAAGACCCGCUGAACUUAAGCAUAUCAAUAAGCGGAGGA
Molecule: unclassified non-coding RNA, 335 nt
Filed under: soil metagenome
Description: partial contains 5.8S ribosomal RNA, internal transcribed spacer 2, and large subunit ribosomal RNA
Rfam family: 5.8S ribosomal RNA (bases 5-119)
Source: RNAcentral